RNAcentral lists this ribosomal RNA (253 nucleotides) under uncultured bacterium. RNAcentral's name for it is "partial 16S ribosomal RNA". It matches the Rfam family "Bacterial small subunit ribosomal RNA", at positions 524 to 776 of the family's 1533-position model. The record is from RNAcentral.
UACGUAGGGGGCAAGCGUUGUCCGGAUUUAUUGGGCGUAAAGAGCGUGUAGGCGGCCAUGUAGGUCCGUUGUGAAAACUCGAGGCUCAACCUCGAGACGCCGAUGGAAACCAUGUGGCUAGAGUCCGGAAGAGGAGAGUGGAAUUCCUGGUGUAGCGGUGAAAUGCGCAGAUAUCAGGAAGAACAUCCGUGGCUAAGGCGGCUCUCUAGUACGGUACUGACGCUGAGACGCGAAAGCGUGGGGAGCGAACAGG